GGCAGGCCUAACAACAUGCAAGUCGAGGCGGAAACCGAAAGAAGUAGCUUGCUACUCUGGCGUCGAAGCGGCGGGACGGGGUGAAGUAAUGCUUGGGAACCAUGCCCUUGAGGGUGGGGGGACAAACAAGUUGGAAACCGACUGCUAAUACCGGCAUAAAUGUUUUACGGACCAAAGGGGGCUUCGGCUCUCGCCUUUAGAUUGGCCCAAGUGGGAUUAGCUAGUUGGUGAGGUAAUGGCUCACCAAGGCGACGAUCCCUAGCUGGUUUGAGAGGAUGAUCAGCCACACUGGGACUGAGACACGGCCCAGACUCCUACGGGAGGCAGCAGUGGGGAAUAUUGCACAAUGGGCGCAAGCCUGAUGCAGCCAUGCCGCGUGUGUGAAGAAGGCCUUCGGGUUGUAAAAGCACUUUCAGUCAGGAGGAAAGGUUAGUAGUUAAUACCUGCUAGCUGUGACGUUACUGACAGAAGAAGCACCGGCUAACUCCGUGCCAGCAGCCGCGGUAAUACGGAGGGUGCGAGCGUUAAUCGGAAUUACUGGGCGUAAAGCGUACGCAGGCGGUUUGUUAAGCGAGAUGUGAAAGCCCCGGGCUCAACCUGGGAACUGCAUUUCGAACUGGCAAACUAGAGUGUGAUAGAGGGUGGUAGAAUUUCAGGUGUAGCGGUGAAAUGCGUAGAGAUCUGAAGGAAUACCGAUGGCGAAGGCAGCCACCUGGGUCAACACUGACGCUCAUGUACGAAAGCGUGGGGAGCAAACAGGAUUAGAUACCCUGGUAGUCCACGCCGUAAACGAUGUCUACUAGAAGCUCGGAGCCUCGGUUCUGUUUUUCAAAGCUAACGCAUUAAGUAGACCGCCUGGGGAGUACGGCCGCAAGGUUAAAACUCAAAUGAAUUGACGGGGGCCCGCACAAGCGGUGGAGCAUGUGGUUUAAUUCGAUGCAACGCGAAGGAACCUUACCUACACCUUGACAUACCAGAAGAACUUACCAAGAAGAUGGUUUGGUUGCCCUUCCGGGAACUUCUGAUUACAGGUGGCUGGCAUGGCUGGUCG
This 1051-nucleotide ribosomal RNA is filed under the name Pseudoalteromonas sp. Its description in RNAcentral is "bacterial SSU rRNA". It matches the Rfam family "Bacterial small subunit ribosomal RNA", at positions 41 to 1054 of the family's 1533-position model. Lineage: Bacteria; Pseudomonadati; Pseudomonadota; Gammaproteobacteria; Alteromonadales; Pseudoalteromonadaceae. The record is from RNAcentral.